Non-coding RNA from Gossypium hirsutum (cotton), 107 nucleotides. The record is from Rfam. Lineage: Eukaryota; Viridiplantae; Streptophyta; Magnoliopsida; Malvales; Malvaceae.
AUCCCAUGAUGAAGACACUUAUGAAGUAACUUUUUGUAUCUCUCCCACCCCUCGUACAAGGACUCAUCAUCCAAUUGUUGAAAAGUGGUGAUCUGAUUUUUGCAACU